AACGCAGAUUGCGCUUUCGGGAUAGGCCUGAAAGCACGCCUCUUUGAGUAUCGAUUCAACCUCUGCUCGACGGCGUUCUUACCUUGUGUGAGCAACGUGCAGUCGGCUGGUAGUGAGUUUCGCACCUGCAUGGGUGCGUGACUUGAAGCAUCGACAGUUUAGUCGUUCCUGCUGAGAACAACAUCUGUCGAAACACGCUGAGCAAUGCGGUCAGUUUCUGCCUGUCACAAGGCGAAUCGAUGCAUUGGUGCGGCGCGUUUCGGUGAGUUGUUCGCUUGAAGCAGUCGAACACGUAUUUCGGCUUGUUCGCAAGUGUUCUGAAAUACGCCUGGUGACUAACCACUUUGAUUAAGAUCUCAAAUGAAGCGAGGAAACCCGCCGAACUUAA
This 388-nucleotide unclassified non-coding RNA is filed under the name uncultured fungus. RNAcentral describes it as "partial contains 5.8S ribosomal RNA and internal transcribed spacer 2". Lineage: Eukaryota; Fungi. The record is from RNAcentral.